RNAcentral lists this long non-coding RNA (336 nucleotides) under Olea europaea subsp. europaea. Lineage: Eukaryota; Viridiplantae; Streptophyta; Magnoliopsida; Lamiales; Oleaceae. The record is from RNAcentral.
UACACAAAGAAAUCUUCAAAAAUAGUAAGAAUUGAAGUACAAGAAAAAUUUGUUCAAAUUUUGGGCUCUAACUUGGAGUGUACCCAACACAUACAUAGAGGACAGUAAAGAAUUGCAUAGAAGAUCUUUUCGACCUUUGUUCGACUCUGUUUCAGUGUGUUUAGAUGUUGUUUGGAAGAGAGGUCUAUUUGCUGAAGCCGCAACGAUUUGUUUUAUGUUUGUGGAUACAUGAGCAUCUGUAUUUUGCAUCUUAUGUUUGCCUUCUAGGUUCGUUGUCUUCAAAUCGAUGUUCAUUUGAGUUGAAUUCUUCACGCAACGGCUUAUAGUUGAAACAUU